RNAcentral lists this ribosomal RNA (482 nucleotides) under uncultured bacterium. Its description in RNAcentral is "partial 16S ribosomal RNA". It matches the Rfam family "Bacterial small subunit ribosomal RNA", at positions 28 to 507 of the family's 1533-position model. The record is from RNAcentral.
GACGAACGCUGGCGGCGUGCUUAACACAUACAAGUCGAACGCUGAAGCUCAGCUUGCUGGGUGGAUGAGUGGCGAACGGGUGAGUAACACGUGAGUAACUUGCCCUCUGCGUGGGGUUAACUCCCGGAAACGGGUGUUAUAACUGGAACUUCAUUGGUUCUCGCAUGGGGGUUGUUGGAAAGGUUUUCUCUGGUGUGGGAUGGGCUCGCGGCCUAUCAGCUUGUUGGUGGGGUCAUGGCAUACCGAGGCUUUGACGGGUAGCUGGCCUGAUAGUGUGACAGGUGAAAUUGGGAAUGAGACACGGUCCAAACUGCUACAGGAGUCAGGAGUAGUGAAUAUUGCGCAAUAGGCGAAAGCAUGCAUCAGCGGCGCCGCGUGAAGGAUGGAGGCUUGCGGGUUGCUAUACUCUGUGAGUAAUGGUCAAGACGCAACUUUGGGUUGUGGUGAGGGUAGUAGGUAAAGAAGCGCCGGCUAACUACGUG